RNAcentral lists this ribosomal RNA (499 nucleotides) under uncultured Pseudomonadota bacterium. RNAcentral's name for it is "bacterial SSU rRNA". It matches the Rfam family "Bacterial small subunit ribosomal RNA", at positions 355 to 844 of the family's 1533-position model. The record is from RNAcentral. Lineage: Bacteria; Pseudomonadati; Pseudomonadota.
UGGGGAAUAUUGCACAAUGGGCGAAAGCCUGAUGCAGCAAUGCCGCGUGUGUGAAGAAGGCCUGCGGGUUGUAAAGCACUUUCAAUUGGGAAGAAAAGUCUAGGGUUAAUACCCCCGGACCUUGACGUUACCUUUAGAAGAAGCACCGGCUAACUCCGUGCCAGCAGCCGCGGUAAUACGGAGGGUGCAAGCGUUAAUCGGAAUUACUGGGCGUAAAGCGCGCGUAGGUGGUUAGUUAAGUCAGAUGUGAAAGCCCUGGGCUCAACCUGGGAAUUGCAUUUGAUACUGGCUGACUAGAGUAUGGUAGAGGGAAGUGGAAUUCCAGGUGUAGCGGUGAAAUGCGUAGAUAUCUGGAGGAACAUCAGUGGCGAAGGCGACUUCCUGGACCAAUACUGACACUGAGGUGCGAAAGCGUGGGUAGCAAACAGGAUUAGAUACCCUGGUAGUCCACGCCGUAAACGAUGUCAACUAGCCGUUGGGCUCAUUAUAAGGGUUUAGU